This 106-nucleotide ribosomal RNA is filed under the name Deltaproteobacteria bacterium. Lineage: Bacteria; Pseudomonadati; Myxococcota; Myxococcia. The record is from RNAcentral.
CAGCGAGGAGGCCACACCCGUUCCCAUCCCGAACACGGUCGUUAAGCUCCUCAGCGCCGAUGGUACUGCGUGAGUGAUUGCGUGGAAGAGUAGGUCGCCGCCGCCC